This is a small nucleolar RNA of Acipenser ruthenus (sterlet), 84 nucleotides long. RefSeq annotates it as small nucleolar RNA SNORD67. The record is from RefSeq and is a predicted model, not a curated record. Lineage: Eukaryota; Metazoa; Chordata; Actinopteri; Acipenseriformes; Acipenseridae. The transcript has a single exon.
GGUAAAAGGGAGAGUUGCAUAGACUGAGCUGCUUCAAUCAUUGCUGAUGACAGACCAAAGUGCCCUGGGGCCAUCUGACUUGUA